This is a long non-coding RNA of Ailuropoda melanoleuca (giant panda), 743 nucleotides long. RefSeq lists it as uncharacterized. Lineage: Eukaryota; Metazoa; Chordata; Mammalia; Carnivora; Ursidae. The transcript is spliced from 5 exons. The record is from RefSeq and is a predicted model, not a curated record.
GCAAGGUGCAAAGGGUCUGUCCUCCCACACUGUUGGCCUUGUCACACGUGUGCUUCUUAUUACAGUUGCUUUGAAAUUGUGACUCUCUACUGUUUUGAGAGAUGUGGACAACUCCCAUGCUGUAUUUUCUUGUGUUCUUAAAAAAUAAUUCUGGACAUUUACACAGGGAAGAUGUCCCACGGUCGGGAGAAUAUUUGGUUGUAAAAUCAUCUGUCUCUCUUACUUCCUGUCUGCUUACCUCCUGUCUCUGAGGGGUUCCUGGGGACUGUGGUUCAUUUAUGCCUAGAUCUCUGUUCUCCAUACCUGCUCUGAAGAUCACGAGAAAACUCUGGAAAUUGUGUAUAAAACAAACAUAAGAAGAUUCAAAAAGGUGAAGAGAGGAAGGCAGACCGGUCAAGGAUCUCAGGACCCAAGGAAUGACAUGAUGGCUUUGGACCUAGAAGAAGGCACCCACUUCUCUCUCCAGAAGUGGGGUAGAGACAUCAAUCAAAAUCCAUGGGCACAGACAUGAAAGUAAUUUGGGCAUUUUCAGAGGGAAAACUGUAUGAUAUGAAGAAUUAUCAUCAUCCAUGCUCGUACUGAUAGAACACUACCGGUCAUCCUACAGAAAAAUACACAACAGAUGUUCUUCAUCAAGGGCCUUAGUAGGGGCGCCUGGGUGGCACAGCGGUUAAGCGUCUGCCUUCGGCUCAGUGCGUGAUCCCGGCGUUAUGGGAUCGAGCCCCACGUCAGGCUCCUCUGCU